Diorhabda sublineata is the source of this 2970-nucleotide long non-coding RNA. RefSeq lists it as uncharacterized. The record is from RefSeq and is a predicted model, not a curated record. NCBI's taxonomy places the organism in Eukaryota, Metazoa, Arthropoda, Insecta, Coleoptera, Chrysomelidae. The transcript is spliced from 3 exons.
GACAGCACGCAUCCUUGUCGCACCCCCCUUUUGAUCUAUAUGUUGUCGGACAUAUUGUUGUCUAGUUUUAUUUGAGAUGUUUGAUUCCAGUAUGGGGUUUCAAUGCAUCAGAUGUCUUUCUGAUCUAUAUCGAGCCUUUUGAGGAUCUGCAUUAGUUUGUGGUGCUAUGAAACAGGCAAACGUCAUUUCCUUAGUUAUAGCAGUCCUGGGCAAACACUUGUGUUGCGACUAUUGCCUCUCUUGUGUCAUUUUACAUCAACAGUGAUAAAAUGUAUCGUAAUAGAAGUUUCAGACAAAGGAGAUUGAACCUUAUAUAUUUCUUAAUGGUAAUGGAUACAUGAAUCAACUGCUAGAUUAUCUCUGAGCAUCAUAACAUAAUAUUACAUAUACUUGAUUGCAAGCAAUUUUACAAGUAAUAUUAAAACUGAAAUAAUUACUGACAGCAAGUAAUUGAGCCAAUACAUAUCCUAAAACAAAUGAGUAUAUGAAAAAAUGGUUAUACAGCUUUUUAUAUAUAUAUAUAUAUAUUCACCUGCUAUGGCUCGACAUAAAAAUUUGAAAUCCAUAGAAAUGUUGGCUUGCUUGGUAAGACCUAUUGCAUUGAGCAAUCCUCUCCCCCAUUUACUAGGACCCUUUUCGUCUGAGAACUGUAAAAGGAUUUGUGAAAAUUUGUAUAAAACUGCACCGCAAUACGGCUCAUCUAUUUCGGCGUGUUGUAAGACUAGCAUAAGAAAUCCACACCAUAUCAGCGGCAUCUUUGGUUCUGUUCCUUCACUGGAAUAUACUGACUAAAAAAGACUAUUUAAAUGUAUUCACUAUCUUACCUAAUUUUAACAUUUAUUAUCCAGUCUAAGCACAUAUUCAAUAAAAUUUCAGUGUUGUUAUGUUUGGAAAUCAGCUGCACGAAAAUUGCAUUUAAAGCUAAUAUGCAGCCCUUAUUCACGGCUAAUUGUUGUAAUUCUUUUUGUUUGGGUGCUAAUAUAUUCAAAAGCUCUCCGAUUUCCCGCCAGGUUGGUUGAAAAUCAUCAGAAACUGCAAAUGAAAAUUAAAUUUAAGUUUAUUAAGAUGAAACUUUUCAUAGAUAUCAUCCCAACUUAAAUAACAGUUUGUACUAAUGUUUGCUUCAAAUCGAAAGACAAAUGUAUAAUAGAAGAGACAUAAAUUUACAGUAUUUAUUACAUCCAGGAUAUCUUCAUUAUGAAAUAAUGAAUGAGCAAGGAACAAGACUUGGAGCUGUAGUAUAAUAGUUUUUAUUUCAGAAGAUUUUCAAGAGGUGCAGAUUUUUAUGAUCGUUUGAUAUUAUUCGCGUGAAUUAGUAAAAGUUGAAUGAAUCUAUUAAGAACAGAAAACCGUGACAAUCUACAGUGCCCCAAUUUGAUAAACGGUAGUUUGUUAGUAAAGCUACUUCGAUGUAGAUGUACUAUAGAUAAGCAACUGAAUUAAUUAUCAUAUGACAGAUUGGCUCUUUGUGGCUAUUGUAUUUUGGAAGUACUUGAAUGAGAUUUUUAAUCUUUCUCUACACACAAUAGUGUCUUAGGACCUUAUCAAAUAACUACAUUCAAAACAAAGAUUUCUGAUACAAAAUGACCAAAUUGUAUAAAUUUAGCAUAAUUUUCUUACAUAACCAUAUAUAUAGUUGUAUUAUGGGAUGUUGGUCGGGUUUAUAAUUUUAGAAACAAUUUUCCUACAUUUAAUUUAUAAGUAAUUUAUUUUGUUAGAAUAUGAUUAAGUUUUUAGUCCAUAUUUUUUAUGACAUAAAAAAUCGAUAACUCCCGACUCCAAAAACGAAAACCAUGUACAAGAACUAGACUAUUUAAUUGAAGAGUAAUCGAAUACUGAAGAACCCUUCAUCCAAUAGAAUAAAGCUAUAAAUUUAAACAUCUAAAAAGAAGAACCAAUAUUAAUCAGGAAACGAGUUGUGCGGAGACCAUAGUUCAAAUUAUGGUGUGAAUUGUGCUGAAUAAUUGAAUGAAAAAUUUUUGUUGGUAUUUUCAACUGACAGUACAUUUUUAUUUAUAUAAGUGAGGUCUUUGUGCCAAAACUUAUACCAAAAUUAUUCUAAUAAUAAUAGGGAGAUCUAUUAGAGACUAGUGUGUAUUCUGCAGAACUAUUUAUGUGUGUGCAACGACGGUUGAAGAUAAGUGAAACAAAAGAAGAGGUACAACUGAAUGGCCAGCACAAUUUCAAGAUCUAUCUUACGGCAUAUUAGGAUUAUCUUAAAUUAUAGAAUGAAUUAGUUAUAAACGAAAUAAUUUUCAUGUUUUCUUUUAGUAUUGAGCUAAUUUUCAAUUUUAGUAUACAGUAUAGAGAUAAUUUUAGAGAACCUUUCAAUUUUGAUUAUAAGCCUAUCCUCAAUAAUCAGAAUAUUCAAUGAAAUAGACUAAACUGGAAGUAUUAACAUUUUGCUAUUUUACUAGAGCUAAAUAUUUGAGGGAAAAAAUUACUGUACCAUAACACUUACCAGUAUUCACAAAGUAGCUAUUAAUUGUAACUUCCAAAAGAUCUGCAAGUAUAUCUAAUUCCAUAACUGCAGUACCUAGAGUUGUCAGUAAACUCCUGAUAAUCAACCCAUUUCCAGGUUUAUUUUCAAUCCAUUUUAUGAAACUAUUCAAAACUAUCACUUUCACUUGAUCUAUAUUCGAGCAGCACAAUAGUUCUUUCAACAGCAACGACAUCUCUUGUUCUGUAGUUACCAUAUGUUCAAGAUCAUUGAGUUGUCGAUUUAUUAACAAAAAUAUAUCUUGUUCUUUGCGAGAAAUGUUAUUUUUGUUUCGAUUGGCGUAAACAGAGAGUAAUUUUACAUUGGUUUUAACAUAGAUCAGUCUUUUGUUUAAUGUUUCUGAUGACAUAGUCGAUUGUUGUCCAUUGCACAUAGAAACUAUCUUUAGAAAACUAAAAAAUUAUAAAGUUUCUUUAUUUAUUAUAUUAUAUUUAUUAUACAUCGAUUGACCAAUAAACCUCAUUAUUGAA